CUCUAUUGUAACCCUAGGAUGAACAUUUUAUAACCAAAUCUUGAUUUUAAGAUACAUUACUAGAACACAAAAUUACAAGGCCAAAAGAUGUCUCUUACAAUGUUUGAUCCUGCUGCCCACAAUGUAUGGGAGUGUUCUUUUGGCUUUCAUUUGUUUGUCACAUCGUGAUCACGGAAAAUUGCUUUCAGCGAUGUCUGCCUUCUUUUAAUUACUAAAGAAAACUUUUUUCUUUUUUUGAGACAAGAGUCUCAUGUAGUCCAGGAUGGCUCAGAACACACUGUGUAGCAGAGGAUGUCCUCGAAUGUAGGCUCCUCUUGUUACCACCUCCAGUGAUUACAGGCCUGUGCCACCACACCCAGUUUUAGGCAAUGUCCAAGCUAGAACCGGGGUUUUGUGAAUGUGAAGCAUUCUAUCAACUGAGCUACAGCCCCAGCCAAAAAUAUGUUUUUCCAUAGCGUUACACAUUUGAAUCUCUCUUUGAAUUUGCUCUGUAUUUCCUUUCAGAGGUGGCUCAUGCUUGAGGAUGCUUACAUAGAAACUGCAGGGUAGAGAAGAAAUGGGACCAUACUUCAUUAUGGCUCUUCAUCUCCAAGGGAGGUAGGGCUGGAGAGGAGAUGGCUGGAAGCUUGUCUUUCACUGAGGCUGGCUGCUCUCUUUCCUGGUGUUCUCCAGGCUUCUAUGUGCCUCUCUGACCAAUGUCUGGGAUAGGCCCUGUGGCUCCAGGCCAGGUCCUUCACUGGUCUUCUGCCUGCCUCUGUGUUUCCAGGCUGCCCUUCCUCACCUCUGAGGCUCCAUGUUGGAUGAAGAUAGCAGAGCCAUGAACCCAGUGCUGGAGGGACACACUGUGGCCAGUGAAGUGAGGAGGGGAAGAAAGCAAUGUCUCGGGACAGAGCAAUCUUUGUUGCAGUGUAUGAGGCGACUCGGCCUCCCCACCCCCCUCUGCUGUAGUCCCUUUACACAUCUUACCCCUCAUCUCAGGCUGCAGUAAGACUGGGUUACGUGAUCUAUUCUCCCCUAUGACUUUCAGUUUCUCAUAAAUGGAGAAUAGGCUAGAACUCCUCCUCCUUUUCCUGCCAAGCAGAACAAACAGCUUCCUAUAGCCCCUGAACCCAUCUUCUGUUAGGGAGACUGGGCCAAAACUGAACCACAAUCAGAGCCCAAGCCCAAGCUUGAGAAUGAAUCAGGAGCUAGAGGCAGCAGAAGGGACUCAAAUCAUAUAACCCAUCUCCCCUGAUGGCUGGAGGAGACAAUUUCUUGCCUGCACAGCACUGAGCUGAGUCUCACUAUCCUGGAAAGCAAAGGCAGAAAAUAAAUGGCAGUGGUUGCUAGGACCCAAUCAGGAGCUGGAGCCUUAUUUUGGGUGGAGGGGAAACCUUGGGUCACCCUUGUAUAAUGAGAAGUCAGCAUAGGACUAGCCUCCCACUAGCUCUUAAUCUUUCCCUCCACCCCAAUCCCCUAGAGCUGGGUGUGUAGUCAGGGGGUGGAGGAGGGACAACAAUUUGUAUGAAGAGCUGUUUUGUUUCCACCCACAGGAAGAGCCCAGGCUCUGAGUCAGCGCAGGUGGACUUCUGAUGCCCUCCUGCCUACUCAUCUAUGGGAUUCCCCAUUUCACGGGUAGAGAAAUGGACAGGUUUAAGGAUCCCAUAGAGGUAAGUACCCCUAAAUCCAAAAUCUGGACCAAUCUAAAAACAAAUACAGAGAAAGGCAAGCACACGGAUGACUACUUAGAUUAGAGUUCUGGUGUCGUCUUUCCCAUGAGCACACUGACUUUUGGACCUCAUGUGAUAGUUGGAGAGGGGGGAGAUAAGAAAGGCAGGCUACAAGGAAGUCUUGAUAAACAGGUAGACAGACUUUCCUUCCAUUUCUUCCCAUUGCCACACAGAGAUCAACUAACCUUGGAGAGGUGGAGCCACCUAUUCCCCAAUUUAGUCAGGGCCUUUAACCUGAAUCUUUUGCUGGGCCAGUGUGGGUAAGGGCUCCCCAGAGCAGAGUUUCCCUUCCCUAAAGCCAUCCAUCACCCCUGCUGUCCAGCCCUUCCCAACCCCCAGUUCUGUCACCUUCCAGAUGAUAGGCAAAGAAGCUGCUCCUCUUCCUCCUCGAAGCCAGGGGCAGAGGGCAACAGUUCUUCAACUGGCAGCUUUAGCUGGGUCAGGACAUAAAGCUUGCCACUGAAGAACUACUGCGGCUCAGCCAGGUGAGGGUGUGGGAGGCACAGGUUCCUAAACGGAGGGGAGGAAAAACAGGAAAACUCGGAAUAGGGCUUGGUGACAGCGACAGUGACCCACUAGUUCUAGCUAACUUUCAAUACCUUCAUCUCUUGAGUGAGAAGCAAGAGACUUCUAAAUGCAUUUGUCUUGCCCUGCUUUACAGACCAAGAGGCACUAGCAACACUUGACAACCGGUUGAGAACUCCAGCAUCUUCAGGAUUCAAAGGGCAGGGUCUAGAACCCAGGCCCCAAGUGAAAAAUUGUACUUAAGGUCCAGAGUUGUGAGGUCUGUAAUCAACUCAACUGACUUGUUCCUAGUGAAUUCAGCUGGAAGGAGGAUUAGAAUGGGGAGGAGGACUAGAGUUUGGAAAGUCAGCAGGGGCUCUGAGGAGUAUGAGGGAGAGGACAGCUGACCAUAGGCAGGAGGGGAGGGAUGUACGGGCAGGGUGGCUGGGCAGCUUCCUCAGGACUCUGAGAUGCCAGGCAUUCCGCUUGCACAUUCCGGGUACAUCUGGUAUGAAUUCCAAGCUGUCUGCCGGCCCCUCCACGUCUGAACUUUGUUCCAAGUUCCAAGCCCCGCCCCCAUAGUUCCAACGCAUGAAUCAGCAGGAAAAGCCGGGGCCCUGCAGCAUGGCCCAGGGAGGGGGCUGGGGGCGUGGCAGGCUAGAGGGCUGUGAGUUGGAGAGGGUGGUUCUGCACAGUCAGUCCAAGGGCAUGGCCAUUGCCAGAUUGAGGGACCAAGGAGAUUUUGCCUUGGGAUUUCUAUACUCAGGGGGUGGAAUGAUUACAGUGGGGUGGGCGAUUUUCAAAUUCCAAAAGCCUCUUGGGAAGCAUAAACUUUGUGGUAUCUUUCUUCUCCUAGGUGAUGAGUCUCUGUCCACUCCUCUCUGCCUAAGUUGACUCUGUUCAGCUACAGGGUUCAUUGGCUGCUGAGAGUUUGUGCCAAGCAGGUGCCCUUGGCUGCCGGGCGGGGUGGGCCCAGGGCACUGACCCUCUGACCAGCUGCUCCAUCAACCCUCUGGCACCAUGACAGCUCCUAGCUUACUGACAGCCAGGAUGACAGGCCAAAUGAGUUGGAGGCUGAAACUAGGGCCAGAGGGAGGUGGGGACGUUAGCCUAGCCGGAGGCCCGUGGGGAGGGGCCAAGAGUUGGCCAGGAGGUGGGGAGAGCGGGAGCCCAGCGAUGACUAACCCAGGCGCCCCACCCAGCCAGCCGGCUUCCCAGGCGGUCAUGGCCAGGCCCUCCUCCUGUCCGCCCCCCCAACCUCCGCCCAACCGCGGUGAAACCCUAACCUUUGGGUUGCAUAAGGCCUUCGCACCGCCGCCCCCUACUCCUUUCCCCUCCCCCCUUACAUAACAUUCCCGGGAGGAAACGAGAGGAGGGGCCGGCCCGCCCAGCGACCCCUUCCCUGCCAGGGACUUGAACUAGCCCUGACCCAGUCAGCGCCAGUAGAGGCAGUGCACCUUCACACCACUCGCUCUCCCAGAUUCUCCCCAGGCUAAAUGGUCAGUUCCCGGAUCCUCAAACCAGAGGGCAUCAGGGUUAGACGCCCCCAGCCCUCGGCCUCUCAUCUUCUUCCCCAAUUACCUCUCCAGACCUUCUGCCACGAUUCCUGUCUGGGACUUUCUCUUUAAAUGUCCAGACACACUACUCAGGCCAGUCCAGGACCCUCUCUCGGGAGCCUCUCCGUGCCCGCCGCCCCCUCUCCCCUCCCCCAGAAGGGCAGGGUGUGGUCGCUAGGACCCUACUUUCUCCCAUCACCUUGUUACCGCGAUUUCCCCAGGAAUGACCGGGUCCCCAGAUCACACCCACCUGAUGCUGGGUGUGGGGGUUGCUGAGGACAGGGGAGCAAAAUCACUGCGUCCUCUCCGCACGGCCGACCGCUCUGUCUCUUCCCAGCGCCCAGCACAC
RNAcentral lists this long non-coding RNA (4118 nucleotides) under Cricetulus griseus (Chinese hamster). Its description in RNAcentral is "lncRNA (ENSCGRG00015029129.1)". The record is from RNAcentral. Lineage: Eukaryota; Metazoa; Chordata; Mammalia; Rodentia; Cricetidae.